UACGUAGGGAGCAAGCGUUGUCCGGAAUUAUUGGGCGUAAAGGGCGCGUAGGCGGCUUUUCAAGUGACGGGUGAAAUCCCUCGGCUUAACCGAGGAACUGCCUGUCAGACUGGAAGGCUUGAGACCGGGAGAGGUGAGUGGAAUUCCCAGUGUAGCGGUGAAAUGCGUAGAUAUUGGGAGGAACACCAGUGGCGAAGGCGGCUUCCUGGACCGACACUGACGCUGAGGCGCGAAAGCCAGGGGAGCAAACGGG
This 253-nucleotide ribosomal RNA is filed under the name uncultured bacterium. RNAcentral's name for it is "partial 16S ribosomal RNA". It matches the Rfam family "Bacterial small subunit ribosomal RNA", at positions 524 to 776 of the family's 1533-position model. The record is from RNAcentral.